Molecule: ribosomal RNA, 253 nt
Filed under: uncultured bacterium
Lineage: Bacteria
Description: partial 16S ribosomal RNA
Rfam family: Bacterial small subunit ribosomal RNA
Source: RNAcentral
UACGUAGGGUGCAAGCGUUGUCCGGAAUUAUUGGGCGUAAAGAGCUCGUAGGCGGUCUGUUGCGUCGGCUGUGAAAACCCGGGGCUCAACCCCGGGCCUGCAGCCGAUACGGGCAGACUAGAGUUCGGCAGGGGAGACUGGAAUUCCUGGUGUAGCGGUGAAAUGUGUUGAUAUCAUCAGGAACUCCGGUGGCGAAAGCGGCAUGCUGGACCUUCACUGACGCUGAUGCGCGAAAGCUAGGGGAGCGAACGGG